GACCCCUUCGUCUAGAGGCCUAGGACACCGCAUUUUCAUUGCGGCAACACGGGUUCAAAUCCCGUAGGGGUCACCA
RNAcentral lists this transfer RNA (76 nucleotides) under Rhodospirillaceae bacterium. Its description in RNAcentral is "tRNA-Glu". It matches the Rfam family "tRNA". Rfam says of the family: Transfer RNA (tRNA) molecules are approximately 80 nucleotides in length. Lineage: Bacteria; Pseudomonadati; Pseudomonadota; Alphaproteobacteria; Rhodospirillales; Rhodospirillaceae. The record is from RNAcentral.